RNAcentral lists this transfer RNA (93 nucleotides) under Poterioochromonas malhamensis. RNAcentral's name for it is "tRNA-Ser". It matches the Rfam family "tRNA". From Rfam's summary of the family: Transfer RNA (tRNA) molecules are approximately 80 nucleotides in length. Their secondary structure includes four short double-helical elements and three loops (D, anti-codon, and T loops). Further hydrogen bonds mediate the characteristic L-shaped molecular structure. tRNAs have two regions of fundamental functional importance: the anti-codon, which is responsible for specific mRNA codon recognition, and the 3' end, to which the tRNAs corresponding amino acid is attached (by aminoacyl-tRNA synthetases). tRNAs cope with the degeneracy of the genetic code in two manners: having more than one tRNA (with a specific anti-codon) for a particular amino acid; and 'wobble' base-pairing, i.e. permitting non-standard base-pairing at the 3rd anti-codon position. The record is from RNAcentral. Lineage: Eukaryota; Synurophyceae; Ochromonadales; Ochromonadaceae. RNAcentral also lists the same sequence under 1 other name.
GGAGAGAUGGCAGAGCGGUCUAUUGCGUUAGAUUGCUAAUCUAUUGUAUAACUACUAAACUUUAUACCGAGGGUUCAAAUCCCUCUCUCUCCU